Non-coding RNA from Sciurus carolinensis (gray squirrel), 753 nucleotides. The record is from the annotation of a RefSeq genome assembly. Lineage: Eukaryota; Metazoa; Chordata; Mammalia; Rodentia; Sciuridae.
GCUCUCCUCCUAGUGCCGAGCCCUAAAGUCAAAGAAGAAAAAUUUCUUCUGAAGGAAGAAUGUAAACAUGGUGCUGCCCAGGCUACUGAAGCUUGUCAUGGUGUCCAUGUGGCUGGGAUCCAGUUUCGCCCAGAAGGUAGCUCAGGCCCAGCCAGCCAUGUGGGUGCAGGAGAAGGAGGCUGUGAGCCUGCACUGCACCUAUGACACCAGUGCCACAAGUUAUGGUCUCCUCUGGUACAAGCAGCCCAGCAGUGGGGAGAUGGUCUUCCUCAUUCGCCAGGACUCUUACAGCAAGGAAAAUGCCACACAAGGUCGCUACUCACUGAGUUUGCAGAAGGCAAGCAAAUCCAUCCAGCUUGUCAUCACAGCCUCACAGCUGGAGGACUCAGCAGUGUAUUUCUGUGCACUGAGAGAUGACACAGAGGGAGGACUGUUGAAGGCCGUUGUACAAAAACCCAGGGUAUGUCUGAGACACCCACCUGGUGUAGGGACCAAGGCAGGGAAUGGCCACCCCAGAGAGGAUGUGGCCAGGGCUGUGGCAGCUCAUGUCUAGGGUUGGAGGGAAAACACUCUCUCUGAGGAAACCCUCUCUAGGUUCAUAGACCACAUCAGAGUUAUUACUAACCAGUGCCAUCCAUGUUCCUGAAUCUUUGGAUUGAAGAUUGACCCAGAAUUUUUUGACACAAGAUAGAAAAAGAAGAAUAAGCAUGAUAAAUAAUGUUUGUUGAGGAAUUGGUUAAGGAAGUUUAGAAU